AACGCACAUUGCGCCCGCCAGCACUCUGGCGGGCAUGCCUGUCCGAGCGUCAUUUCUACCCUCGGGCCCCCCAGGGGGCCCGGUGAUGGGGUCCGGCCCCGGCCGCCCCCGAAAUGCAGUGGCGACCCCGCCGCGUCCUCCCCUGCGCAGUAGCACAAUCUCGCACCGGAAGCGCGGAGGCGGUCACGCCCGUAAAACGCCCCAACUCAACAGUUGACCUCGGAUCAGGUAGGAGUACCCGCUGAACUUAA
This 251-nucleotide unclassified non-coding RNA is filed under the name uncultured Ophiocordycipitaceae. Its description in RNAcentral is "sequence contains ITS2". Lineage: Eukaryota; Fungi; Ascomycota; Sordariomycetes; Hypocreales. The record is from RNAcentral.